GUGCUUGCUUCGGCAGCACAUAUAAUAAAAUUGGAACGCUACAGAGAAGAUUAGCAUGGCCCCUGCUCAAGGAUGACAUGCAAAUUCGUGAAGCGUUUCAUUUUUUU
This is a small nuclear RNA of Sorex araneus (European shrew), 107 nucleotides long. NCBI's taxonomy places the organism in Eukaryota, Metazoa, Chordata, Mammalia, Eulipotyphla, Soricidae. The record is from Ensembl.